Molecule: long non-coding RNA, 461 nt
Organism: Equus quagga
Lineage: Eukaryota; Metazoa; Chordata; Mammalia; Perissodactyla; Equidae
Exons: 3
Source: RefSeq, a predicted model, not a curated record
UUGAAGACCUAGAAGACAGGAACAGUUGAUGGAACAGGGUUCUGGGGAAGGUGAAACAAGAUGAGGCUUCCCAAGCCCAGAUGAAAGGAUUACCUUCUACGAGGACAAGAGACAUCAGCGCUCCUGGUUCUUGGGCUUUCAGACUCAAACUGGAGCUUAUGCCAUUCGCUCCCCUGGCUCUCAGGCCUUCAGGUUUCGACUGGAACUACACCACGGGUUUUCCUGAGCCUCCAGCUUACCAACAGGUUCAUUGUACUAAAAACAAAAGUCAAAAGUUAUGGAAGUGUAUAAAAUAGAAAGUGGAAGCUCCCAGGCCCACUAAUAAGAGAGAAUGAAUCAAGAAAGAGGAAGACAGGGAAAGGAGAUCAGCAAAAGAAAGGCCUGACGAAACUCCACCAGAUGAUGUCACAGGGAUCCCAGAACGACAGCAGUGCAUGGAGAGGAUGACAAUCCCUUCCAAA